This 593-nucleotide ribosomal RNA is filed under the name Debaryomyces hansenii. Its description in RNAcentral is "LSU rRNA". It matches the Rfam family "Eukaryotic large subunit ribosomal RNA", at positions 66 to 664 of the family's 3401-position model. Lineage: Eukaryota; Fungi; Ascomycota; Pichiomycetes; Serinales; Debaryomycetaceae. The record is from RNAcentral.
CAUCAGGGGAAUAGCGUUACAACGGCGAGUGAAGCGGCAAAAGCUCAAAUUUGAAAUCUGGCACCUUCGGUGUCCGAGUUGUAAUUUGAAGAAGGUAACUUUGGAGUUGGCUCUUGUCUAUGUUCCUUGGAACAGGACGUCACAGAGGGUGAGAAUCCCGUGCGAUGAGAUGCCCAAUUCUAUGUAAAGUGCUUUCGAAGAGUCGAGUUGUUUGGGAAUGCAGCUCUAAGUGGGUGGUAAAUUCCAUCUAAAGCUAAAUAUUGGCGAGAGACCGAUAGCGAACAAGUACAGUGAUGGAAAGAUGAAAAGAACUUUGAAAAGAGAGUGAAAAAGUACGUGAAAUUGUUGAAAGGGAAGGGCUUGAGAUCAGACUUGGUAUUUUGCGAUCCUUUCCUUCUUGGUUGGGUUCCUCGCAGCUUACUGGGCCAGCAUCGGUUUGGAUGGUAGGAUAAUGACUAAGGAAUGUGGCUCUACUUCGGUGGAGUGUUAUAGCCUUGGUUGAUACUGCCUGUCUAGACCGAGGACUGCGUCUUUUGACUAGGAUGUUGGCAUAAUGAUCUUAAGCCACCCGUCUUGAAANCCGGGACACAAAA